Molecule: long non-coding RNA, 491 nt
Filed under: Erythranthe guttata (spotted monkey flower)
Lineage: Eukaryota; Viridiplantae; Streptophyta; Magnoliopsida; Lamiales; Phrymaceae
Description: long non-coding RNA (EGUT_LNC000019)
Source: RNAcentral
GGUAACUGAACAACAUUGUCCCCAACUACCGCAAGGGGUGCAGCAGCAUGUUCAUUGAUGAGUAGUUCUGCAGAUUCAUAGCCAGGUGCCUCAUCGAGAGCCUCAGAGACGGUAUUCGCUGCUCCCUCAGACAAAUUAUCUGCAGAUUCAUUGCUACGUGCAUUUUCCUUGGAGUCUUGAUCUGCAGGUGACUGAACAGGUUCAUUGGCAGAUGUGUCCCCAACUACGUCAAAGGGUGCAGCAGCAUGUUCAUCGAUGAGUAGUUCUGCAGAUUCAUUGCUAGGUGUCUCACCGAGUGCCUCAGAGAUGAUAUUCACUGCUCCCUCAGACAAAUUAUCUGAUGCCAGGGUGACGUUUUCCUUGGAGUCUUGAUCUGCAGGUAACUGAACAGGUUCAUUGGCAGAUGUGUCCCCAACUACUUCAGAAGUGUGGUCCAGUGUUCCAUCAGAGAACUUAGUUGGUGCAGAGAAGUCCACGGUAGUAGGAUUUGG